UACGAAGGGGGCUAGCGUUGUUCGGAAUUACUGGGCGUAAAGCGCACGUAGUCGGACUAUUAAGUCAGGGGUGAAAUCCCGGGGCUCAACCCCGGAACUGCCUUUGAUACUGGUAGUCUCGAGUCCGGAAGAGGUGAGUGGAAUUCCGAGUGUAGAGGUGAAAUUCGUAGAUAUUCGGAGGAACACCAGUGGCGAAAGCGGCCACCUGGACUGCACCUGACGCUGACACGCGAAAGCUAGGGGAGCGAACGGG
RNAcentral lists this ribosomal RNA (253 nucleotides) under uncultured bacterium. RNAcentral's name for it is "partial 16S ribosomal RNA". It matches the Rfam family "Bacterial small subunit ribosomal RNA", at positions 524 to 776 of the family's 1533-position model. The record is from RNAcentral.